RNAcentral lists this ribosomal RNA (447 nucleotides) under uncultured bacterium. RNAcentral describes it as "bacterial SSU rRNA". It matches the Rfam family "Bacterial small subunit ribosomal RNA", at positions 30 to 507 of the family's 1533-position model. The record is from RNAcentral.
AUUGAACGCUGGCGGCAUGCCUAACACAUGCAAGUCGAACGAGAAAGUAUCUUCGGAUAUGAGUAGAGUGGCGGACGGGUGAGUAAUGCAUAGGAAUCUGCCUAGUAGUGGGGGGACAACUACCGGAAACGGUAGCUAAUACCGCAUACGUCCUACGGGAGAAAGCCUUCGGGCGCUAUUAGAUAAGCCUAUGUCUGAUUAGCUUGUUGGUGGGGUAAUGGCCCACCAAGGCGACGAUCAGUAGCUGGUCUGAGAGGACGACCAGCCACACUGGGACUGAGACACGGCCCAGACUCCUACGGGAGGCAGCAGUGGGGAAUAUUGGACAAUGGGGGAAACCCUGAUCCAGCAAUGCCGCGUGUGUGAAGAAGGCCUGCGGGUUGUAAAGCACUUUCAGAUGGGAAGAUAAUGACGGUACCAUCAGAAGAAGCACCGGCUAACUCCGUG